Molecule: long non-coding RNA, 514 nt
Organism: Amphiprion ocellaris (clown anemonefish)
Lineage: Eukaryota; Metazoa; Chordata; Actinopteri; Pomacentridae
Source: Ensembl
GAUAUCAAUGAAUGUGAAGAAUUGAUUUCUCCUUGUCCACAACAGUGUCUCAACAUACCAGGUUCCUUUAUUUGCUCAGAGUCCUCUUCGCUGUCUGCUGUCUCUGUUGUCACUGCCGUGAUCGUGGUGAUUGGUGGUGUUGCUGUGCUGGUGAUGAUCAUGAUCUGUUAUCGAAGAUAUUUCCCCAAGACAGAAGAGUUGGUCACCGCGGAAUGUUGCCAGGGGAAAAGUUAAUCACACCAGUUAAGUCAACUUUUCUUGUAAUGUUCUUGUUCUAUGAAAGUUAUCUUAAUGUCUUUUUAUUGUAUUUAACUGACUGUAACAGUAGAAUUUUUGUGAUGUUAAUUUAUAAGAACUAUAUUACGCUAAGGCUGAACAACUCAAUGUUACAUAACUGCUGCUGUUGUUGACCGCUGAUGAAGACAACUAGACUGUUUCUACAUAUAGACCAUGACUUGAUCACGUGCAAUCAUGUUUUGCCUCCUAACUACACGUUACAACAGCAGCCAGGCUG